CUUUCCCUUCUGCGUUUCUUCCCCACCACUCGUUCUUAAUCUCUCGCAGUGGCAUGGCCGCCACAAGCUACUGCUUUGCUUCCACCAGGUCCUCCUCCUCUACCCAGCUCCUCGCUACAGAGUACAGACCAACCGGCAAGGCUGACUGCAGUGCGUUACUUCGCCAGGGCCUCCUCCUCUACCCAGCUCCUCAUUGUUGACUCGCCGUCAAAGCUGUGCGGGCGCUGCUGGUGGUUCAGGUGCUGCGCGGCAGGAGCGGGGAGAGGUGGUGUUGCGCGCCUCGGGGACGGCGCGGCCGACCGCCAAAGGAAAUCGCGAGCGGCAGGCAGCGCCAAGAUCAACUACCCUGGGGGCGGAUUCUUGUAGCUUUUUGGAUCGCCGGUAGUAGCUUUCUACUUAGCCGGUUGCAUCUUUUUAAAUUGCUUUGUUCCAGUUUUUUCUCAAAUCCCUGGUUUUUGCAUCUUUGUAAAUCACCGGUUCCAGCUCCCAAAAUCACCAAUUGUAGCUUUUUGAUUAGACGGUUGUAUCAUUUUGGAUCGCAGUACCGGUUUCCAAUCACCGUUGUAGCUUUUUGAUCAGCGAUUGCAACUUGUCUAAUCGCCGGCUCCAGCUUUUUUGGAUCGCGGUUCUAGCUCCCAUUCAUUUGCAUCUUUUUUUGACCACUGGUGCCGGAAUCAGCAUGGCGACCAGCUAGAAGGGGCACCCGGUUUUGCUGGAACCAGCUCCCAGUUUUGCUGGAACCGGCUCC
Molecule: ribosomal RNA, 748 nt
Filed under: Triticum aestivum (bread wheat)
Lineage: Eukaryota; Viridiplantae; Streptophyta; Magnoliopsida; Poales; Poaceae
Description: partial small subunit ribosomal RNA
Source: RNAcentral